GAACAACCCGGAGCACCGGCCAAGGUCCCCAAGUGUGCACUAAGUUGAGCUAAGGGGGUCCGACUGCAGAGACAGCCAGGAUGUUAGCUUGGAAGCAGCUACACAUUUAAAGAGUGCGUAACAGCCCACUGGUCGAGCGGGGCGGGCACCGAUAAUAAACGGGCAUCAAGUGUACCACCGAAGCCGUGCGGUCGUAUUUAG
Molecule: ribosomal RNA, 201 nt
Filed under: Pycnococcus provasolii
Lineage: Eukaryota; Viridiplantae; Chlorophyta; Pseudoscourfieldiophyceae; Pseudoscourfieldiales; Pycnococcaceae
Description: partial Bacterial large subunit ribosomal RNA
Rfam family: Bacterial large subunit ribosomal RNA
Source: RNAcentral